This 26-nucleotide non-coding RNA is filed under the name Mus musculus (house mouse). The record is from RNAcentral. Lineage: Eukaryota; Metazoa; Chordata; Mammalia; Rodentia; Muridae.
UGACUUCCAAUUAGUCUGAUUUCUUG